This 478-nucleotide ribosomal RNA is filed under the name uncultured anaerobic ammonium-oxidizing bacterium. RNAcentral's name for it is "bacterial SSU rRNA". It matches the Rfam family "Bacterial small subunit ribosomal RNA", at positions 365 to 833 of the family's 1533-position model. The record is from RNAcentral.
UUCGCAAUGCCCGAAAGGGUGACGAAGCGACGCCGCGUGCGGGAAGAAGGCCUUCGGGUUGUAAACCGCUGUCGGGAGUUAAGAAAUGCAAGGAUAUUAAUAGUAUCUUUGCUUGACUAAGGCUCCGGAGGAAGCCACGGCUAACUCUGUGCCAGCAGCCGCGGUAAUACAGAGGCGGCAAGCGUUGUUCGGAAUUAUUGGGCGUAAAGAGCACGUAGGCGGCUAUGUAAGUCGGUUGUGAAAGCCUUCCGCUCAACGGGAGAACAGCAUCCGAUACUGCAUAGCUUGAGUGCGGGAGGGGAGAGUGGAACUUCUGGUGGAGCGGUGAAAUGCGUAGAUAUCAGAAGGAACGCCGGCGGCGAAAGCGGCUCUCUGGCCCAUAACUGACGCUGAGUGUGCGAAAGCUAGGGGAGCAAACGGGAUUAGAUACCCCGGUAGUCCUAGCCGUAAACGAUGGGCACUAAGUAGAGGGGUUUUA